This is a long non-coding RNA of Homo sapiens (human), 1911 nucleotides long. Lineage: Eukaryota; Metazoa; Chordata; Mammalia; Primates; Hominidae. The record is from Ensembl.
AAGGCAUUGUCCUCUGCAGACACCCAGGCUGCAGACUUCAAGGACUGGAAGAAGAGCUUUGCGUCUUCUCUCUUCUCUAUACAGACACAAUCUGUAGCAGCAAAUGUGUUACAGAUGGACAGAAGCUGGGCUAUUAGGGGCCUACAGUGCAUCAGGCAUGGAUCCAUGUUAGAAAAUUGUCCCAAGGAUAACCAGGACCUGCUGGAGCACAGUGAAAUUUGGUGCCGUGACUCGGAUCGGGGGACCCCCCUUGGGAGAUCAAUCCACUGUCCUCCUGCUCUUUGCUCCGUGAGAAAGAUUCACCUACGACCUCAGGUCCUCAGAACGACCAGCCCAAGAAACAUCUCACCAAUUUCAAAUCUGGUUGCAUGUAGAGAUGAACCCCCAGUGGAUUCCUGUGAUGUCCUUUGCAGCAGUGUCAACAGUGAAGUCCCAGAUGACACGACUGGCAAGGAUCUGAGGAACAUGGAUGAAGCUGGAAACCAUCAUUCUCAGCAAACUAACAGAGGAACAGAAAAGCAAACACCGUAUGUUCUCACUCAUGAUUGGGAGUUGAACAAUGAGAACACAUGGACACAGGGAGGGGAAUAUUACACACCGGGGCCUAUCAGAGCGUGGGAGGCUACGAGAGGGAUAGCAUUAGGAGAAAUACCUAAUGUAGAUGACGGGUUGAUGGGUGCAGCAAACCACCAUGGCUCAUGUAUACCCAUGUAACAGACCUACACAUUCUGCACAUGUAUCCCAGAACUUAAAGUAUGAUUUAAAAAUAUAUAUAGAGAGAGAGAUAUAUAAAUUGCUGAGAGUGGAUUUUAAGUGUUCUCACCACACAACAAAAUAAGUAUGUGAAGUAAACAUAUAUUAGUUAGCUUGAUUUAGCCAUUUCACACUAUAUAAAUAUUUCAAAACAACAUGUUGCACACUAUAGACAAUUUUUAUUGGUCAACUAAAAAUAAAAUUUUUAAAGGGAGAAAAUAAGAGAGAAUUGGCAUCAGGGUUGCAAAGGAAUGAAUAAAUACAUGGGCCAUGAAAAACUGAUCAAUAUAAGGGUUUGAGAGGAAGGUGAACAGUUUGCAAAGUUGUAACUUUGAAAGAUCUCCCUUAUUAAUUUAUUUGCUCGUUUAAAAGAGUCAGGGUACAAUGGAAUAUUCAACUUAAUCUAGAAGAGGUAGAGUGGACUGAAAUUAAUUUCCCUCUAACAUGCAUUUGUUGCUCUAAUCAACUAUCUAGAGCUACACAAAAUACAUACGAUUUUCUAAAAUUAUUUAAAUUCUUGAAGGUAAAUGCCAUUUCUUCUCUUAUAGAUGAUAGACCUUCAGACUUUCACAUGACUCUUUAUAAAUAGUCCCCAUGCUCAAAACGACAAACACCACUCUCUUAGAUUUCAACUUAGCAAGGCAUCCCAAACUAAACUUCACAUCCAAGGGAGAAGGCAAAUGAAGGAGAGUAAUGACCAGCUAUUUGUUUGAGACAAUAGGUACAUUCAUCAGAUUACCUCCAAACAUCAGCCAAGGGAUUUUAGUUUGGAACAAAGAUAGUUGGAAUAUUAAUUAUUUUCAAAUGGUGGAAGAGCUGCCAUAGAGAAUUAGAGAAAAUUUUAAACUAGAAGUUUGCAAAAAAUAUAUUCAAAUAAUAGCUUUGUUUUUAUUCUAAAAUGUGACCUUGGCUAAGCCACAUAAUCUCUCUGGGUCUCUGUAUGUGGGAGCUACUGAUAAUACCUGUAUCUCUGUUUCAGGUGAUGAUCAAAAUGCCUAUUUUGUGAUUUGUGAAAUGAAAUGUGCUGUAGGCAUGUAAGGUGAUUUUUACAAAUAAUUAUUUUCUUGUUGUUUUUGAAGUUCCAGAGUACAGGAAAGGAAACAGGAAAAACAUAACUGAGGAAUAGUUGUUAGGUCGGUGAGACAUUGAACCUUCUAA